CUUACAUACACACAACUUGACAAGGUAGAAGAGAUCAAAAACUAGCCGGAGAGAGGAGAGGAGCCCGGCCUGCCGGCGGCGAGAUGUACAACAACCCUCCGCCGCCGCAAGGCAUGUCCUACUACGAGCACGCGCAGAAGCGGCACGAGGAGAAGGGCUGCCUCUACGCAUGCGUGUUCACGGCGCUGUGCUGCUUCUGCUGCUACGAGACCUGCGAGUGCUGCCUCGACUGCCUCUGCUGCUGCUGCAACUAGACCAGGCUGCCGUGCCCGACAUGGACGGAGGCCGCAAGGCGCAGCGGAGACCCACCGGCCUCCGCCGUCGCCUUUCACAAUAAGCAUAUGUGUCUAGUGCCUUAGCUCGAUGAGAACUGUAUCAGAUAUUGCUGUAAUAUCAUAUGCCCAGGACAAGGCUAUCACUGUAAACAUCGAUUAUGGUUUGUGCUGCAUCUUAAUUUAAUUAGCAUCAGAUUCCGGUUCCCUGGCAUCAAA
Molecule: long non-coding RNA, 491 nt
Organism: Triticum aestivum (bread wheat)
Lineage: Eukaryota; Viridiplantae; Streptophyta; Magnoliopsida; Poales; Poaceae
Exons: 2
Source: RefSeq, a predicted model, not a curated record